UACGUAGGUGGCAAGCGUUGUCCGGAUUUACUGGGCGUAAAGAGCGCGCAGGCGGUCGUUCAAGUCGCGUGUGAAAGCCCCCGGCUCAACUGGGGAGGGUCACGCGAUACUGAUCGACUCGAAGGCAGGAGAGGGUAGUGGAAUUCCCGGUGUAGUGGUGAAAUGCGUAGAUAUCUGGAGGAACACCGGUGGCGAAGGCGGCAUCCUGGACCAACACUGACACUGAGGAGCGAAAGCCAGGGGAGCAAACGGG
RNAcentral lists this ribosomal RNA (253 nucleotides) under uncultured bacterium. Its description in RNAcentral is "partial 16S ribosomal RNA". It matches the Rfam family "Bacterial small subunit ribosomal RNA", at positions 524 to 776 of the family's 1533-position model. The record is from RNAcentral.